GCAUGAGAACACAAACGCCAUACUCGACGCUCAGAAAUCUCUAUCCCUUGAUCAUGGAGCUCGUCUGCUAUCAGGCGGUAACCAAAUUCAGGAUCGUCACUGUGAAUCUGGCGAAUCUUGUCUAUAAGUUCUACUUCUUGGGCUUGCCUGUCCGAAACUGGCUUAGCAGCCCAUUUAUAAAACGCUUGGCGGGAAAACCCCAGUACCCGAGCCGCUACCGUCAAGGUCGCCUUACCUGCCUUGAUCAGCUUUUCCACGGUCGGGAAGACCCUUUUGGGCGAAUCACCUCUUGAGACAGGUACGCCGCCGCUGCACGUAGCACUUCGUUUUCCAUCUCCAACUCGCGAAUCCGUUUCAAAGUCUGGCGCAUCUCUUUAGCCACUACCGGAUCAGCACACGGUUGCAUCCCCUGAGCCUGCAACCUCGCAUCAGUAAUCCAUUUUUGCAACGAGGAACGCGAGAUCCCUAAAUCAGCACACACCUGACGGCGAGCAACCCCAGACUCCACCAACGCCACGGCAUCAGCUUUGAACUGCUCUGAAUACAACUUCGGCAUGAUCAAUAUCCUUCCCUGCCCCGCCCCAGCGAAACAAGCUAGACGUCAACCAAACCCUCAGCAGACCCGUGGGUAGGGGUGAAAGGCCAAUCAAACUCCGUGAUAGCUGGUUCUCCCCGAAAUGCAUUUAGGUGCAGCGUUGUGUGUUUCUUGCUGGAGGUAGAGCUACUGGUUGGUUGAGCGGGACUACAAUCUUAGCAAUGUCAGCCAAACUCCGAAUGCCGGUAAUGUUAAGCAUGGCAGUGAGAUUGCGGGGGAUAAGCUCCGUUGGUCGAGAGGGAAACAGCCCAGAUCGCCGGUUAAGGCCCCUAAGGGUGUACUAAGUGGAAAAGGAUGUGGGAUCGCGAAGACAGCCAGGAGGUUGGCUUAGAAGCAGCCAUCCUUGAAAGAGUGCGUAAUAGCUCACUGGUCGAGUGGUUCUGCGCCGACAAUGUAGUGGGGCUCAAGUACACCGCCGAAGCCGCGGCAGUCAGCAAUUUUUUUGUUGGUUGGGUAGGGGAGCGUCGUGCACUGCUGUGAAGCACCUGGGUGACUUGAUGGUGUGGAGUGUGUGCGAGUGAGAAUGCAGGCAUGAGUAACGAAUGAAAAGUGGAAAACUUUUCCGCCGGAUGACUAAGGGUUCCUGGGUUAAGCUAAUCUUCCCAGGGUGAGUCGGGACCUAAGGCGAGGCCGACAGGCGUAGUCGAUGGAUAACCAGUUGAUAUUCUGGUACCCGUGUAUGUGCGCCCAGUGGUGAAUCAGUGGUACUAACCAUCCAUGGAUCUUCUGGUCAUGCUUUUUGUGUGGUUGGUGGUGAUGUGCGUGGGAUCUUCGUUGGUAGUAGCCAAGUGAUGGGGUGACGCAGUGAGGUAGCUGAGCCAUGUAGUGGAUUGUGGUGUAAGCGUGUGGCCCGUGGCAUAGGUAAAUCCGUGUCGCAUAGUGGGUGAGGCGUGAUGCGUAGACCUUUGUGGUUGAUGUUGGUGAUCCUGUACUGUCGAGAAAAGCCUCUAGCGAGUGCAUAUAUGGCCCGUACCCAUAACCGACACAGGUGGUCAGGUAGAGAAUACUAAGGCGAUCGGGUGAACUGUGGUUAAGGAACUCGGCAAAUUGCCCCCGUAACUUCGGGAGAAGGGGGACCAUUGCUGGUGACCGACGUGGUUGAGCUGGUGGUGGUCGCAGAGAAUAGAGGGAAGCGACUGUUUAUUAAAAACACAGGUCCGUGCGAAAACGUGGAAGUUGAUGUAUACGGACUGACGCCUGCCCGGUGCUGGAAGGUUAAGAGGACCUGUUAGGGCAUUGUUGUCCGAAGCGGAGAAUUUAAGCCCCAGUAAACGGCGGUGGUAACUAUAACCAUCCUAAGGUAGCGAAAUUCCUUGUCGGGUAAGUUCCGACCUGCACGAAUGGCGUAACGACUUCCCUGCUGUCUCAACCACAGGCCCGGUGAAAUUGCAGUACGAGUAAAGAUGCUCGUUACGCGCGGCAGGACGAAAAGACCCCGGGACCUUCACUAUAGCUUGGUAUUGGUGUUUGGUUCGGUUUGUGUAGGAUAGGUGGGAGACUGUGAAGUGGUCACGCUAGUGGUUGUGGAGUCGAAAGUUGAAAUACCACUCUGAUCGGAUUGAGCACCUUAACCUUGGCCCAUGAUCUGGGUUGGGGACAGUGCCUGGUGGGUAGUUUAACUGGGGCGGUUGCCUCCUAAAAUGUAACGGAGGCGCCCAAAGGUUCCCUCAGCCUGGUUGGCAAUCAGGUGGUGAGUGUAAGUGCACAAGGGAGCUUGACUGUGAGACUGACAGGUCGAGCAGGGACGAAAGUCGGGACUAGUGAUCCGGCAUCUACUUGUGGAAGUGGUGUCGCUCAACGGAUAAAAGGUACCCCGGGGAUAACAGGCUGAUCUUCCCCAAGAGUCCAUAUCGACGGGAUGGUUUGGCACCUCGAUGUCGGCUCGUCGCAUCCUGGGGCUGGAGUAGGUCCCAAGGGUUGGGCUGUUCGCCCAUUAAAGCGGCACGCGAGCUGGGUUUAGAACGUCGUGAGACAGUUCGGUCUCUAUCCGCCGCGCGCGUUGAAACUUGAAGAAGGCUGUCCCUAGUACGAGAGGACCGGGACGGACGUACCUCUAGUGUGCCAGUUGUCACGCCAGUGGCAGGGCUGGUUGGCUACGUACGGGAGGGAUAACCGCUGAAAGCAUCUAAGCGGGAAGCCUGUUUUGAGAUGAGGUUUCUUUUGAGGUUCCCUCUAGACUAGGGGGUUGAUAGGCCAGAUCUGGAAGCGUAGUAAUGCGUUAAGGUGACUGGUACUAAUAUGACCGAGUAAUAACAUU
Molecule: ribosomal RNA, 2852 nt
Filed under: Corynebacterium diphtheriae
Lineage: Bacteria; Bacillati; Actinomycetota; Actinomycetes; Mycobacteriales; Corynebacteriaceae
Description: bacterial LSU rRNA
Rfam family: Bacterial large subunit ribosomal RNA
Source: RNAcentral